Molecule: long non-coding RNA, 2641 nt
Organism: Humulus lupulus (European hop)
Lineage: Eukaryota; Viridiplantae; Streptophyta; Magnoliopsida; Rosales; Cannabaceae
Exons: 3
Source: RefSeq, a predicted model, not a curated record
UCCAAUUUAAUUCGAAAAAAAAUAGUGUUUUGGGGUGAGAGAGGCUCGAACUCUCGACCUCAGGAUCACUCUAAGCUAUGAGACCUACGCGCUAGCCAACUGCGCCACCACCCCAUUUUGUUAAUCUUCAACCCAGUAACACUUUAAAACAUUUCCCGUUUUUUACAUCAGUUUUGGACCAUUUGGAUUAAACUCCAUCCAAUCCAAGGGUCAAAAUUGGGACAUAAUUUAAAUAAAAAAUUAAUCUGACUCCUCCCUUCCCUUCACCAUAUCAAUCUCUCCCUUCUUGCCGAUCAUGGCGCUUCACAUCCUUCGAUGGCAACCAGAUCUUUGUACUCAACUCGCAACGGCAACAAAUCUCCGUUGUUGACAAGCUCUCCACUCUUUCCCACCGCCGACUGUGAUAUGAAUUGCUGUGGAUAUAUGCAUUUUCAUAGAUUUCUUCUCUAUUUCUUAUGAUAAUAUCAUUUCGCUGAGUCCUUGUUUCUUGUGGAUGCAGGAAGUCAACCAUAUAAUUGAAAAACUUGGACGGAAGAAGGGAACAAAUUAUUAUCAUUUUCCCUGAGAAAGGAAAGGAACAGCCAAACAUUGAUCCAGGAUCUUGUAUAAUCAUAAUCGAUGAGCAUAUUAUCAUGCUGGAAUAAAAUGCGGUAGUAUAUGACAAGAAUCUACCCAUCUAACAUAAAUUACUUUUAACUUCUAUAGUUUCUAUCUUACAUAACUGAAGCUCAAUACAAACAAUUAAUAUUCACAUGUUUUUGCGCACAACCUAAAUAUUGCAGACAUCGUUUAUACAAUAAAUAUAUAUUUAUUAACACAAAGUCAUUGAAAAUAUUAAUUAACGAAUCAAUUGAAAUAUAAAAAUACAAAUUUUUAUCAGCAAUUUAUACAAUGAAUGUGAAGAAAAAUUGUGCCAGUUAUUCGCAUGAACAAUGAAUGUGUACAAUCAAAUUAUUUUCUUGGUUUGAUUACAGGGGAAAGACGAAGGGACACCAAUCGGCAAAGCCGGAGGUGGGAGAGAGUGUAGAGGUGUUGCCGUCGAAGGAUGAGAAGGGCCAAGUAUAUGAUCGGCAAGAAGGGAGAUAUUGAUAUCGAGAAGGGAGGAGACUGGAUUUUUAGGAUUAAUUUUUUAUUUUAAUUAUGCCCCAAUUUUCACCCUUGGAUUGAGUUUGAUCCAAUGUUCUAAAACUGGUGUAAAAAGCUGUGUCCAGGGAACGGGACCCUUUGUUUAUUAUUUAUAUUCUAGAGGGAUAUUUGCUUUAAAAGUUUGGAGUUUGUAAUCGGUAUGUACCCAAUUUUUUUUAGUGGUUAAAAUAAUCAAAGUGAGUAAAAUUGUAAUUCUAUCAUCACGUAAUGGAGAUCUAGCGGAUGAGCUGACGGAAUUACAAUUUUAAUAACUUUGGGUACUUUAGCUACUAAAAAAAAAGAUUUGGUCCAUACUGGUUACAAACGUCAAAUUUUGGGUACUUAUGCCACAAAUAUCCCUAUUAUCGAAUCAUAAAUUUUGGACCCUGAUUUCGUCUUGCUUGGUAGGGAGGUGGAAGACAUUAUGCUUUUUGAUAUGGACCAAUGAUUUGGAUUGUAAUGAUCCAACGAGGUGAGUUGAUAAAAGUUGGAUUAAUAUGGGCCAUUGAAUUAAUCGACGGCUGGGAGUAUCUUGUAAAAGAAACUACUCAACUGACAAUUUUUUGCAGUUACACUCUACUAUAGUAAGGGUAUGGCUAAUACAAUUUAUGGACAUAGACAAUCAGUCACAUUCCUCUUGUUUCAAAGAAAAACCCCUCAUUUUCUUCUUUUUGAUACCUCUCCUUUUUUUAUGAAACACAACCAUUACUCACUUUCUUUGAAAAAAAAAAUUCUUAGGUUCUUCAUGAAACUGACCGUGCAUAGUCGAAGGUUCAACUGAACUAACCGUGCAUAGUCGAAGGUUCAACUGAACUAAGCUGUUGAAGUUAUUGAGACACGGUACAUUUACCGAUCAGGAGUUCCACCAUUGAACAUACGAUGGAAAAAGUGGAACUGGGAUUAGCAUUUGAUGUUCUUGAGAUAUUGUUACAAAGGACACGUGGCAAUCCGAAACCGGUGUGGCCAGCAUACGUGGUGGAGGUGCGUGUCUCUUCAAGUGAGGCCACGCCCCGAGGUCAAUCCUCAGAGGGUGGAUAUCUCAAGUAAAGGCCACAGCCGUCGGGUAAAGACAGGGCACAGGUGUCCCUGCUUGAGGUCGUGCCCCGAGGACUAAUUAGUAGUCCUCAAGCUCUUUACAAGUAGUUGUCCUCCAGGUCAAGGACCUUGUCCUCGGGACCCAGGGGACCAGCCAGGUGUCAAUCAGUGUGUGUUUACAGCGUUAGAGGAUCGUUUGACAACCUUUUUGAGGAUCCAUCUGUUAUAUUAUUUCAUAUAAUAUAAUAUUAGAUUAAUUAAUGUGUCAAAAUGUGAUUUGUCACACCGUGUAACAUAUUAUUGAGAGUCACAAAAUUGGACACAUGUGUGUGUCCAAAUGUGACAUAUUUUGGAGUUACAAAAUCAGUUACAAAUUUGUAACUCCCAAAUAUUACCCAAUAAUGUGUAUAUUAUAUGUUACACAUUUGAGAUUGGAUUUUAUAAAGCCAUAUGAGAAAUGGCUGAUAGAGAUGUGAUUUUA